This 171-nucleotide ribosomal RNA is filed under the name Cyperus pedunculatus. RNAcentral's name for it is "5.8S ribosomal RNA". It matches the Rfam family "5.8S ribosomal RNA". From Rfam's summary of the family: 5.8S ribosomal RNA (5.8S rRNA) is a component of the large subunit of the eukaryotic ribosome. It is transcribed by RNA polymerase I as part of the 45S precursor that also contains 18S and 28S rRNA. Functionally, it is thought that 5.8S rRNA may be involved in ribosome translocation. Lineage: Eukaryota; Viridiplantae; Streptophyta; Magnoliopsida; Poales; Cyperaceae. The record is from RNAcentral.
AAGUACGACUCUCGGCAACGGAUAUCUCGGCUCUCGCAUCGAUGAAGAACGUAGCGAAAUGCGAUACGUGGUGUGAAUUGCAGAAUCCCGUGAACCAUCGAGUCUUUGAACGCAAGUUGCGCCCGAGGGACCCUCCCGAGGGCACGCCUGCCUCAUGGGCGUUAGAAGCCC